This 29-nucleotide non-coding RNA is filed under the name Homo sapiens (human). The record is from RNAcentral. Lineage: Eukaryota; Metazoa; Chordata; Mammalia; Primates; Hominidae.
UCCUACCGAUACGUGAUGUCACCCCCAGC